CAGUCGCCGCGGGAAUACGGAGGGUGCAAGCGUUAAUCGGAAUUACUGGGCGUAAAGCGUGCGUAGGUGGUGGUUUAAGUCCGUUGUGAAAGCCCUGGGCUCAACCUGGGAAUUGCAGUGGAUACUGGGUCACUAGAGUGUGGUAGAGGAUAGUGGAAUUUCCGGUGUAGCAGUGAAAUGCGUAGAGAUCGGAAGGAACAUCUGUGGCGAAGGCGACUAUCUGGGCCAACACUGACACUGAGGCACGAAAGCGUGGGGAGCAAACAGGAUUAGAUACCCCUGUAGUCCCUGUCUCUUAUAA
This 301-nucleotide ribosomal RNA is filed under the name uncultured bacterium. RNAcentral describes it as "partial 16S ribosomal RNA". It matches the Rfam family "Bacterial small subunit ribosomal RNA", at positions 509 to 809 of the family's 1533-position model. The record is from RNAcentral.